This is a long non-coding RNA of Lagenorhynchus albirostris (white-beaked dolphin), 851 nucleotides long. RefSeq lists it as uncharacterized. The record is from RefSeq and is a predicted model, not a curated record. NCBI's taxonomy places the organism in Eukaryota, Metazoa, Chordata, Mammalia, Artiodactyla, Delphinidae. The transcript is spliced from 4 exons.
UCGGAGGCGUUGUUGGAGGCAUCAGUUCUCGAACCUGGGGUCUUAAAGAGACUCGAGUUUGGGAAUUUUAGGGGACGGCCGGCUCCCAAGCAAAGGGUCCGCAUGUCCCGGGCCGAAACACUCCUCCGGGAACGGGAAAGGAAACGGGCUGCCAGUCUGUUGUAACAGAAAGAUACAGUGGAACUGUGUACGUCGCAGAAAAAGUCAAAUGAAAAAUGUGGGUAUACGUGGAUCAGGAGCUGUCCAAGUUGCCGAGCUUCUCAACACAAAAUAAAGCGGACGAAGUGCCUGUUGAUCACUUUUGCAGCCAACAACCCAAAACUUAGUCUUGAAUUGAUAUAACAGAGGCAGGUGGCCAAUCCGGGAUAGGCUGGCUGCUCUGUCCAUGGUCCUGGGUUUCUCCUAUCUCGGUACUUCAUUCCUGGAGUGUGUUCCCGUCCAUGCUCUCAGAGCCGCUCACACCAUCCCUUUCAGCUCAUAAGAAAGAGAAAAGAGAGAAGUGGAAGUCGAGCAGCUUCCUUUGGAGAAUGUGACCCGGAAGUUGAACACGGCACUUCUGCUCACAGCUCAUUGGUCAGAAUCUAGUCACAUGACCCUACUGAACUGCAAGGGAGCUGGGAAUUAGUGUCUGUUUGGAUAUCCAUGUACCUUUCCAAAAGUGUGGCGGGGGUGGGAUUUUAUGGCUAAAAGGAAGAAUGAAGUAGAAAAGUAACUUGGGGACAAUUAGAAAAAGCAUGGUAAGUUAGUUGCAAAGAUUUUUGGUGACUAAUCUCAUGAAUUUAUAUGUCCUAUAUUAAAAUAAAAUGUAUAUUUUAUUGUGUUAUGGUCAUUACACUUACCUUUAGGUUUGC